RNAcentral lists this ribosomal RNA (468 nucleotides) under uncultured bacterium. Its description in RNAcentral is "partial 16S ribosomal RNA". It matches the Rfam family "Bacterial small subunit ribosomal RNA", at positions 28 to 507 of the family's 1533-position model. The record is from RNAcentral.
GACGAACGCUGGCGGCGUGCCUAACACAUGCCAGUCGAACGGAAAGGCCCUGCUCUUGCUGGGCGCUCGAGUGGCGAACGGGUGAGUAACACGCGAGUAUACCGUCCCUGACUUUGGGAUAACUCCAGGAAACUGGGGAUCUUACAGGAUAGGAGCUCCUGCUGCAUGGUGGGGGUUGGAAAGAUUCGGUGGUUGGGGAUGGACUCGCGGCUUAUCAGCUUGUUGGUGGGGUAGUGGCUUACCAAGCCUUAGACGGGUAGCCGGCCUGGGAGGGUGACCGGCCACAUUAGGACUGAGAUACGACCCAGACUCCUACGGGAGGCAGCAGUGGAGAAUAUGACACAGUGGGCUGGAGCCUGAUGCAGCAACGCCGCGUGCGGGAUAACGGCCUUCUGGUUGUAAACCGCUGUCGCCUGUGACGAGGCGUGAGUGACGGUAAUGAGUAAAGAAGCACCGGCUAACUACGUG